GACGAACGCUGGCGGCGUGCUUAACACAUGCAAGUCGAACGGAAAGGCCCUGCUUUUGUGGGGUGCUCGAGUGGCGAACGGGUGAGUAACACGUGAGUAACCUGCCCUUGACUUUGGGAUAACUUCAGGAAACUGGGGCUAAUACCGGAUAGGAGCUCCUGCUGCAUGGUGGGGGUUGGAAAGUUUCGGCGGUUGGGGAUGGACUCGCGGCUUAUCAGCUUGUUGGUGGGGUAGUGGCUUACCAAGGCUUUGACGGGUAGCCGGCCUGAGAGGGUGACCGGCCAAAUGGGGAAUGAGAUAAGGCCCAGACUCCAAGGGGGGGCAGGAGGGGGGAAAAUUGCAAAAGGGGCGGAAGCCGGAUGAAGAAACGCCGGGUGGGGGAUGACGGCCUUCGGGUUGGAAACCGCUUUCGCCUGUGACGAAGCGGGGGGGACGGUAAUGGGUAAAGAAGCACGGGCUAACUAGGG
This 467-nucleotide ribosomal RNA is filed under the name uncultured bacterium. RNAcentral describes it as "partial 16S ribosomal RNA". It matches the Rfam family "Bacterial small subunit ribosomal RNA", at positions 28 to 506 of the family's 1533-position model. The record is from RNAcentral.